ACGAAAGAGUAACAAUAUGGACUAAUUAUUCAGUUCCACAAAACCGUUUAAUGAAAAAGGUUUAUUCUUCGUAAAUUAUUUUCAGAUCUUAUCUUUAGUUGAUCGCGAAACUCGAGUUUUUUCCAAUGAAAACAACCAUUAAUUUUAUAUUUAAUUUCAAGUCUUUUAAAGAUACAUUCAUGUAUACACACAUAGAUAUGUGAACGUCAUAUGUAUACUAAGUUUCAUGGGUUUCUUAUUCUUGACUCUUCAUCUAGACAAAAAUUGUCCAUAGACAGAAAAACAAAUAAGUCAAGAUAUUCACUCUCCACUAGAUAAAGGCAAUAUAACUUAGAAUCCUAUUCUUCAUCUCUUACUUCCCUUCUAAAUUAAUAGAGUUAGCUUAAGUACAUGUACACUUUCUGUAAAUUGCUUCCUAUCCAUCCAUUCAUUCAUAAUUUCUAGGCCUCAUUUUUCUUUCAUUAUAUCUUCAAACAAACAAAAGAAAAUUACAAUGGCAAGUAGACAACAUAGAUGUAACCAAUGUGGAAUACUACUAAUGGUUCCACAAGAAAGCCAAGCCUUUAAGUGUUCAAUAUGCAAUGGCAUAACCUAUUUUCAAUCCACAGGUCCAUUGAAUCAAGCCUACAAUAGUCUUAAUCAUAUUGCAGGUCUUUUUAGAGGCUUCAUCAAUACUAUAACACCAACUAGUUCUGUAGUUAACAGUAAUUCAGGUAAUUAUGGCUAUUAUCUUCAGCCUCAGUCACUAAGGCCUUCAUACCCUUUGAUUCCUCCUUCUCCGUAUGGCUCGAAACGCGCAGUGUUGUGUGGAGUUUGCUACCAUGGGAGGAGUUACAGGCUUAAGGGCUCCAUCAAUGAUGUAAAAUGUAUGAAGUACUUUCUGAUUAAGGAGUUUGGGUUUCCUAGUGACUCCAUUCUCAUGCUCACAGAUGAUAAGGAGGAGAGAAAUCCACUAAAAAUACCAACAAAAUAUAACAUUCAAAUGGCUUUAAGGUGGCUGAUUGAGGGUAGCAAAUCAGGGGACUCAUUAGUGUUCCAUUACUCAGGACAUGGCACACAGGAAUUGAACAUGAAUGAGAUUGAUGAUAAAUAUGAUAAUGCAAUUUGUCCUGUUGAUCAUGAGCACAAGGGGAAGAUACUGAAUGGUGAGAUUAAUGCAACAAUUGUUAGGCCACUACCAUUUGGUGCUAAACUUCAUGCCAUUAUUGAUGCAUGCCACAGUGGAAAUGUUCUUGAUUUAUCAUUUGUUUGCAAGAUGAACAGGGAAGGAUAUUACAAAUGGGAGAAUCAUACAAGUUCAAGAACUGAUAAAGGCAGAAAAGGAGGAGUAGCAAUUUGUAUUUCUGCUUGUGAUGAUAGUCAAGUCUCUGUAGAUACCUCUACAGGCCUUAAGUGGCAAAGAAGUUACAGGUGCAUUGACUUAUAGUUUCAUACAAACAGUGCAAAAUGAACCUGGAUUGAGUUAUGGUCACUUGCUGAAUACCAUGCGUUCAACCAUUCAUGGCACUAAAACAGGCAUAGUUACUCUAAAUGGCCCAAUUGCUUCCAUCUUAAAUAGAAUUCUUGGCCUCCGCAUCAAGCAGGAGCCACAAUUAUCUUCUUCGGAGAUUUUUGACAUGUAUAAAAAGCAGUUUAUAUUAUGAUAUGGUAUAUUGGUAUAUUUUCAUUCAUCAAAAUUCUGUAGCAUUAAAGAUUCGAAUCAUGGAAUACCCUUUUGACAUGUCUUCUAUUUUCAUGUAAUUGUGCAGCUGAAGUGACACUAAAAUGUGUUUGUUUCAAGGAAUAUCAUUGUAAAGUUAUUCUUGAAAAGUGAACUUAGAAAUAUGGCAUUUCUAUGAUUGGUACAAGUUUUAAAAUAA
This is a non-coding RNA of Cicer arietinum (chickpea), 1859 nucleotides long. The record is from RefSeq and is a predicted model, not a curated record. NCBI's taxonomy places the organism in Eukaryota, Viridiplantae, Streptophyta, Magnoliopsida, Fabales, Fabaceae.